AGCAGUGGGGAAUAUUGGACAAUGGAGGAGACUCUGAUCCAGCAAUUCUGUGUGCACGAAGACGGUUUUCGGAUUGUAAAGUGCUUUCAGCAGGGAAGAAGAAAGUGACGGUACCUGCAGAAGAAGCGACGGCUAAAUACGUGCCAGCAGCCGCGGUAAUACGUAUGUCGCAAGCGUUAUCCGGAAUUAUUGGGCAUAAAGGGCAUCUAGGCGGAUAUACAAGUCAGGGGUGAAAACUUAGGGCUCAACUCAAAGCUUGCCUUUGAAACUGUAUAUCUAGAGUGCUGGAGAGGUGGGCGGAACUACACGAGUAGAGGUGAAAUUCGUAGAUAUGUGUAGGAAUGCCGAUGAUGAAGAUAGUCCACUGGACAGCAACUGACGCUGAAGUGCGAAAGCUAGGGGAGCAAACAGGAUUAGAUACCCUGGUAGUCCUAGCUGUAAACGAUGAUUACUGGGUGUGGGCAUGAAGAGUGUCUGUGCCGAAGCUAAUGCGAUAAGUAAUCCGCCUGGGGAGUACGACCGCAAGGUUGAAACUCAAAGGAAUUGACGG
This 550-nucleotide ribosomal RNA is filed under the name uncultured bacterium. RNAcentral describes it as "bacterial SSU rRNA". It matches the Rfam family "Bacterial small subunit ribosomal RNA", at positions 350 to 916 of the family's 1533-position model. The record is from RNAcentral.